RNAcentral lists this ribosomal RNA (253 nucleotides) under uncultured bacterium. Its description in RNAcentral is "partial 16S ribosomal RNA". It matches the Rfam family "Bacterial small subunit ribosomal RNA", at positions 524 to 776 of the family's 1533-position model. The record is from RNAcentral.
UACAGAGGGUGCGAGCGUUGUUCGGAAUUAUUGGGCGUAAAGGGCGCGUAGGCGGUGCGGCAAGUCACCUGUGAAACCUCUGGGCUUAACCCAGAGCCUGCAGGCGAAACUGCCGUGCUGGAGUGUGGGAGAGGUGCGUGGAAUUCCCGGUGUAGCGGUGAAAUGCGUAGAUAUCAGGAGGAACACCUGUGGCGAAAGCGGCGCACUGGACCACAACUGACGCUGAGGCGCGAAAGCUAGGGGAGCAAACAGG